GACGAACGCUGGCGGCGUGCUUAACACAUGCCAGUCGAACGGAAAGGCCCUGCUUUUGUGGGGUGCUCGAGUGGCGAACGGGUGAGUAACACGUGAGUAACCUGCCCUUGACUUUGGGAUAACUUCAGGAAACUGGGGCUAAUACCGGAUAGGAGCUCCUGCUGCAUGGUGGGGGUUGGAAAGUUUCGGCGGUUGGGGAUGGACUCGCGGCUUAUCAGCUUGUUGGUGGGGUAGUGGCUUACCAAGGCUUUGACGGGUAGCCGGCCUGAGAGGGUGACCGGCCACAUUGGGACUGAGAUACGGCCCAGACUCCUACGGGAGGCAGCGGUGGAGAAUAUUGCACAAUGGGCGGAAGCCUGAUGCAGCAACGCCGCGUGCGGGAUGACGGCCUUCGGGUUGUAAACCGCUUUCGCCUGUGACGAAGCGUGAGUGACGGUAAUGGGUAAAGAAGCACCGGCUAACUACGUG
This 468-nucleotide ribosomal RNA is filed under the name uncultured bacterium. RNAcentral describes it as "partial 16S ribosomal RNA". It matches the Rfam family "Bacterial small subunit ribosomal RNA", at positions 28 to 507 of the family's 1533-position model. The record is from RNAcentral.